GAGUUUGAUCAUGGCUCAGAUUGAACGCUGGACGGCAGGCCCUAACACAUGCCAAGUCGGGCGGUAGAGAGAAGCUUGCUUCUCUUGAGAGCGGCGGACGGGUGAGUAAUGCCUAGGAAUCUGCCUGGUAGUGGGGGAUAACGCUCGGAAACGGACGCUAAUACCGCAUACGUCCUACGGGAGAAAGCAGGGGACCUUCGGGCCUUGCGCUAUCAGAUGAGCCUAGGUCGGAUUAGCUAGUUGGUGAGGUAAUAGGCUCACCAAAGGCGACGAUCCGUAACUGGUCUGAGAGGAUGAUCAGUCACACUGGAACUGAGACACGGUCCAGACUCCUACGGGAGGCAGCAGUGGGGAAUAUUGGACAAUGGGCGAAAGCCUGAUCCAGCCAUGCCGCGUGUGU
RNAcentral lists this ribosomal RNA (400 nucleotides) under uncultured bacterium. Its description in RNAcentral is "bacterial SSU rRNA". It matches the Rfam family "Bacterial small subunit ribosomal RNA", at positions 9 to 406 of the family's 1533-position model. The record is from RNAcentral.